This 332-nucleotide unclassified non-coding RNA is filed under the name plant metagenome. RNAcentral's name for it is "partial contains 5.8S ribosomal RNA, internal transcribed spacer 2, and large subunit ribosomal RNA". The stretch from base 1 to 104 matches the Rfam family "5.8S ribosomal RNA", at positions 50 to 154 of the family's 154-position model. The record is from RNAcentral.
GAAACGCGAAAGGUAAUGCGAAUUGCAGAAUCAGUGAGUCAUCGAAUCUUUGAACGCACAUUGCGCCUCUCGGUAUUCCGGGAGGCACGCCUGUUCGAGCGCCAUUACAAACUCCAAGCGUGGCUUGAUGUUGGGCGAUGUCUUUUUGCGAGAGCGGAGACACGCCUGGAACGCGUUGGCGCCGCCGCCGGACCACGAGCGUAGCAAGACGAGAGUCAAUCGCAUCGAUUUGGUUUCCGACGGAGGUCCGCCUUUGGAUUGGAUCUUGGAUUCGAUCUACCCGUCCACAAGUUUGGCCUCGGAUCAGGCGGGGAUACCCGCUGAACUUAAGC